This is a small nucleolar RNA of Candida albicans SC5314, 138 nucleotides long. Lineage: Eukaryota; Fungi; Ascomycota; Pichiomycetes; Serinales; Debaryomycetaceae. The record is from RefSeq and is a predicted model, not a curated record.
UCAAUGAUGAAACAUCCAAGCAACAUAGAGUCAAGCUCUGAUAAAAAAAAAUAGUUGUUUUUUUUUACUUGGUAUUCACUGUCUGGAAAGAUGGCAGGUUUAUCAAUGUUGAAGAGAAUUGCAAAUUAUUUCUGAAAU